RNAcentral lists this unclassified non-coding RNA (149 nucleotides) under soil metagenome. RNAcentral's name for it is "partial internal transcribed spacer 1". The record is from RNAcentral.
CCGAGUUUACAACUCCCAAACCCCUGUGAACAUACCUUUAUGUUGCCUCGGCGGAUCAGCCCGCGCCCUGUAAAACGGGACGGCCCGCCGCAGGAAACCCUAAACUCUGUUUUUAGUGGAACUUCUGAGUAUAAAAAACAAAUAAAUCA